AUAGACAAUGUCGAAUGCAGUCUGGUCAUCAACAGAGAAUUUUCAGACACCCGACGUCACCCGUAGACCUGUAUUUCAACUAAUUACCUCUCUAACCUUUGUUGUGUUCAUCAGACAGAGGGAUGGACCAUUUUACUUUGAUCCUUUUACAACAGGUGCCCCUGCAGUUUACAAAGUUCCAAUAUUGAGGUCCCAGGACCCUUAAUUUAACAUCCAGUGAGUCCACAACAGAUUAAGGAUUAAGCUGACAUUAUCCACAUUGUCCUUGGUAGCUGCAGCUUACAGUAGAACCAACAGCAGUAGACAUAUAGCAUGCUUCUUCAAAGAUGCACCACAUGCAGUGGCACUGUCUCCAUCAGUGGUGAAAUGGGAUAUGACUAGUGGAGGGUGGUGAUUUUCUUACUGACACCAAUACAUUUUGAGGUCCUUAUCUCCAAUGGUGGUCUCCGGAGGAAUGGUUGCAGUGCAGUCUUCA
Saccostrea cuccullata (small rock oyster) is the source of this 475-nucleotide long non-coding RNA. RefSeq lists it as uncharacterized. Lineage: Eukaryota; Metazoa; Mollusca; Bivalvia; Ostreida; Ostreidae. The record is from RefSeq and is a predicted model, not a curated record. The transcript is spliced from 4 exons.